CAGCCGCCGCGGGAAUACGUAGGUGGCAAGCGUUGUCCGGAAUUAUUGGGCGUAAAGGGCUCGCAGGCGGUUUCUUAAGUCUGAUGUGAAAGCCCACGGCUCAACCGUGGAGGGUCAUUGGAAACUGGGAGACUUGAGUGCAGAAGAGGAGAGCGGAAUUCCAUGUGUAGCGGUGAAAUGCGUAGAUAUAUGGAGGAACACCAGUAGCGAAGGCGGCUCUCUGGUCUGUAACUGACGCUGAGGCUCGAAAGCGUGGGGAGCAAACAGGAUUAGAUACCCCUGUAGUCCCUGUCUCUUAUAC
This 301-nucleotide ribosomal RNA is filed under the name uncultured bacterium. RNAcentral's name for it is "partial 16S ribosomal RNA". It matches the Rfam family "Bacterial small subunit ribosomal RNA", at positions 509 to 807 of the family's 1533-position model. The record is from RNAcentral.